RNAcentral lists this ribosomal RNA (161 nucleotides) under uncultured Dehalogenimonas sp. RNAcentral's name for it is "partial 16S ribosomal RNA". It matches the Rfam family "Bacterial small subunit ribosomal RNA", at positions 1225 to 1382 of the family's 1533-position model. The record is from RNAcentral. Lineage: Bacteria; Bacillati; Chloroflexota; Dehalococcoidia; Dehalococcoidales; Dehalococcoidaceae.
CUACGAAUGGGCGGCACAAUGGGUUGGCCACCGGGUGACCGGGAGCUAAUCCCCAAAACCGCCCUCAGUUCGGAUCGCAGGCUGAAACCCGCCUGCGUGAAGUCGGAGUUGCUAGUAAACGCGUGUCAGCAUAGCGCCGUUGAACUACGUUCUCGGGCCUU